This 90-nucleotide transfer RNA is filed under the name Ampullimonas aquatilis. RNAcentral's name for it is "tRNA-Ser". It matches the Rfam family "tRNA". Rfam says of the family: Transfer RNA (tRNA) molecules are approximately 80 nucleotides in length. RNAcentral also lists the same sequence under 2 other names. Lineage: Bacteria; Pseudomonadati; Pseudomonadota; Betaproteobacteria; Burkholderiales; Alcaligenaceae. The record is from RNAcentral.
GGAAGCGUGGCAGAGUGGUUGAAUGCACCGGUCUUGAAAACCGGCGUGGGUGCGAGCCCAUCGUGAGUUCGAAUCUCACCGCUUCCGCCA